This 468-nucleotide ribosomal RNA is filed under the name uncultured bacterium. RNAcentral's name for it is "partial 16S ribosomal RNA". It matches the Rfam family "Bacterial small subunit ribosomal RNA", at positions 28 to 507 of the family's 1533-position model. The record is from RNAcentral.
GACGAACGCUGGCGGCGUGCUUAACACAUGCAAAUCGAACGGAAAGGCCCUGCUUUUGUGGGGUGCUCGAGUGGCGAACGGGUGAGUAACACGUGAGUAACCUGCCCUUGACUUUGGGAUAACUUCAGGAAACUGGGGCUAAUACCGGAUAGGAGCUCCUGCUGCAUGGUGGGGGUUGGACAGUUUCGGCGGUUGGGGAUGGACUCGCGGCUUAUCAGCUUGUUGGUGGGGUAGUGGCUUACCAAGGCUUUGACGGGUAGCCGGCCUGAGAGGGUGACCGGCCACAUUGGGACUGAGAUACGGCCCAGACUCCUACGGGAGGCAGCAGUGGGGAAUAUUGCACAAUGGGCGGAAGCCUGAUGCAGCAACGCCGCGUGCGGGAUGACGGCCUUCGGGUUGUAAACCGCUUUCGCCUGUGACGAAGCGUGAGUGACGGUAAUGGGUAAAGAAGCACCGGCUAACUACGUG